Molecule: ribosomal RNA, 670 nt
Filed under: uncultured bacterium
Lineage: Bacteria
Description: bacterial SSU rRNA
Rfam family: Bacterial small subunit ribosomal RNA
Source: RNAcentral
AGCUGUGACGUUACUCGCAGAAGAAGGACCGGCUAACUCCGUGCCAGCAGCCGCGGUAAUACGGAGGGUCCGAGCGUUAAUCGGAAUUACUGGGCGUAAAGCGUACGUAGGUGGUUUGUUAAGUUGGAUGUGAAAGCCCAGGGCUCAACCUUGGAACUGCAUUCAAAACUGAUGAACUCGAAUAUAGUAGAGGUAAGUGGAAUUUCCUGUGUAGCGGUGAAAUGCGUAGAGAUGGGAAGGAACAUCAGUGGCGAAGGCGACUUACUGGACUAAUAUUGACACUGAGGUACGAAAGCGUGGGUAGCAAACAGGAUUAGAUACCCUGGUAGUCCACGCCGUAAACGAUGUCUACUAGCCGUUGGGAUCCUUGAGAUCUUAGUGGCGCAGCUAACGCACUAAGUAGACCGCCUGGGGAGUACGGUCGCAAGAUUAAAACUCAAAUGAAUUGACGGGGGCCCGCACAAGCGGUGGAGCAUGUGGUUUAAUUCGAAGCAACGCGAAGAACCUUACCUACUCUUGACAUCCACAGAACUUCUGAGAGAUCAGUUGGUGCCUUCGGGAACUGUGAGACAGGUGCUGCAUGGCUGUCGUCAGCUCGUGUUGUGAAAUGUUGGGUUAAGUCCCGUAACGAGCGCAACCCUUGUCCUUAGUUACCAUCAUUUAGUUGGGU